UUUCAAUCCUGAACCCUCCCACCCCCAAUGGAUCUGAAAUCUCCUUCUCCUUCUCCUUCUCCUUCUCCCUGUGCUGAUGAGAUUGAAAAUAUUAUCCGUGUAAGAGGAGAUGGAUUCAGUUCUCUUCCUCAAGAUGUGGUUCAUCACAUUCUGUCCCCUCUUCCCAUUUCAGACGUCAUUCGAGUAGGAAGCUCGUCGAAAAAAUACAGACAAAUUUGUUCUUCAUCUUCCUCGUUGAAUUUCGUUGCAUUUCCUUCCGAAUCUACGGCUACCUUCGAAAAACGGUCGGAGCUGCUGUCUUCCUUGGACAGCUUCUUAUUACGCCGCGGCAAUCACAGGGUACAAAACUUUCAUCUCGACUGGGAUUGUCAGUACCACUGUGGGAGAGAAACCAACAUCCCAAAGUGCUGGGAUGUCGAAACGUCUCGAGUUUUCUCUUGGAUUCGCAACGCUGUCGAUUGCCAUGUCCAAAAUCUUUCUGUUUCGUUUCGAACUGCGGUCGUACCUUUCUUGCAGUUUGCUUUUGGUGGGAGCCCCCAGACGGAGUUUCCUUCCGAUGUCUUAACAGGUAGAUCUUUGAGGUCUGUAGAUCUAGACAUGAAGUUUGCAACUAUAAAGGCUCGCAACUUGUCUCUCAGUCAUCAUGUAUCUAAUUUAUUACGGUUACAUUUGAAAAAUGUGACUGUCGAAGAUGAUGAGGCGUUUUGCAAAUGGAUUUCCUUAGCCUGCAUAUUUAUCAAGGAUUUGGUGCUUGAAGAUGUGCAUGGUUUAGGAAACAUCGCCGUUGAAAGCGCGUCGAUGGAAUUGUUCAAGGUUCACUUUCCCUCUUCUGCUAGCCUCUGCCAUGUCCAUAUAUCAGGUGAGAAACUUGAACGUAUAGGUAUAACUUGGACUUUUAGGACCGCCCCGUAAGAGCAAGUCGUUGAAAAUUUCCGCUCCAAAUCUGAAGUAUCUGAGAUGGUCUGGGAACAUGAUGAGCCAUCAGAAUCUUGGGGAAUUCAAUUUUUUGGAAAAUGUAGAUCUUGAUCUCGACGAGUACGGUGUAUACUACAUGGACAACACCACAUCACAUCAGUUCCUCUCCAGUAUUCAGGGUGUUAAAAGUCUUACUUUAAACCAGUGGAGUUUAAAGACUUUGUUCAAGGAAGGUUGCACGCCACCACCACUGCUCAAUGUUUCGUAUUUAGGUAUGAGUAUUCAGGACUUCUGUGAUGAAAGCCUAGUCCCAACGAUGGUCACUCUUUUCAAAAGCCUCCCUAAUUUGCAUACUAUGGAGAUAAUUCAGCUCAAUGAGAUUGGAGUUCUAAAUGGUCUAACUGAACUCUCUCUCAAAGACAGGAUCAAUGACGUAAGGAUAGAGGUGUCUUACGGGUUUCAUUUGAUCGAGUUUGCGAGGUAUAUCCUUGAGCGUGCUCAGAUAUUGAAAAAAUUGGUUGUCAUUUGUUCAUCCAAAUAACCAAGUUUGGUAGGAGAAAUAUAUAGAAGCGUGAGUAACUGUAAGAGCAUGUAUUGUAAUGUACUGUUGUGAGAAUGUGGAGUGUAGUCUGAUUCAACAAACAAUGGAGAGGAGGUCAGGUGGAUGCUUUGUGAAGGUGCCGCUGAUUGGCUGAUGCUUUAGCUAAUUUUGGUGCAGAUCAUGAUGCAUAUUACUGGUGGUUCAACGUUUCUUCAUGUAAACUUCUGCUUAUAUUCGUCAUCUUUCUGCUUGUACCAAUUAUCCUUCCAUAUGAUUUUUAUCGUAUGUUUUCUUUGUAUGUGGAGUUGAUUUUUAAUUCCCUUGUUGUAUUACUUGCUAUCUGUUUUCCUCAACGGGCUUGGUUUUACGUC
This is a non-coding RNA of Malus domestica (apple), 1827 nucleotides long. The record is from RefSeq and is a predicted model, not a curated record. Lineage: Eukaryota; Viridiplantae; Streptophyta; Magnoliopsida; Rosales; Rosaceae.